GCGGGAGUUGUCUAGUGGUCAUGAUGUCUGCUUUACAUUUGAUAAACGAAUGGAAGCGCAGGAGGUCCAGGGUUCGACCCCCUGCUCUCGUA
Molecule: non-coding RNA, 92 nt
Organism: Plenodomus lindquistii
Lineage: Eukaryota; Fungi; Ascomycota; Dothideomycetes; Pleosporales; Leptosphaeriaceae
Source: the annotation of a GenBank genome assembly